Molecule: long non-coding RNA, 898 nt
Organism: Saccostrea cuccullata (small rock oyster)
Lineage: Eukaryota; Metazoa; Mollusca; Bivalvia; Ostreida; Ostreidae
Exons: 6
Source: RefSeq, a predicted model, not a curated record
UAUAGAGGGGCUACGAGGACCUUUUUGUGAAGAAGGAACUAUUCUUGGCAGAACUGCGUGUGACUAUUGUGAAUCAAACACCACUACUAUCAUUAUAAGCAGUGUGGUGUCUUUAUUCCUUGUUCUAACUGGAAGUAUUCUGAACUUAAUCAUAUGGAAGAGGAAAAACGAAACAAGAUGAAAUCCUUUUAUUUUUCUUAAGGUGGAACUGAAAAGCCAAAAGCUUCAAGGGCAAAGAUGAGGAAUGUGGAUGCUCCCGGAAUCAUAGGUCCGAUAAAAUGUUUCUAGAGCCAUCUAAAUGAAAAUCAGCAACUGGUGAAGGGGAUGAAUCCCAUUAUACAGACAUAUGUGUGCUUGAUAAAGCAAACGCAUACAAAGAACUGUCCCGUGAUACCGAGGCUGUUGACAAAAUAUAAGGACAUGUUCAGAAGUAGAGGUGUGAAAAAGUUUACUACCGAGCAACAUAAUCAGAAGACUCUUAUGUUUUCAACAAAUUGCAACCGUGCAUUUGAAUUGUAUAUUCCGCAUUUUUUAAGCUGUUGAUCUUAUCCUGAAGUUUUCUUUCAAUUUUAAAUUGAUUAAAGGACUUAAAGGCCGAGAUUUUUAACCGUACGGUUUUCUCAGGUAAGGGGAGGGACUAAAUUUUACACGCGUGGCACCCCGAGGCAUUGAUGGUCGUGCAGACCGUGGGAAGCGCUUAUCCCUAUACACAAACAGUAUACACAGGAAGUCCAUGGGUAUUACCUGUACAGCUUGAUGGCCUACUGUUCAUCAUAAUUUAGUAGAAUUCGACAUCGUAAAUAAAAAAUAUUAAUAGUAAUUAAUGAUAAUUGUAAAAUUCCGUAAUUUCAGACUCAUAUCUAAUAUCAAACAAGCAGAAAUCUGUCAGGCCGACUUU